This 978-nucleotide unclassified non-coding RNA is filed under the name Hevea brasiliensis (rubber tree). The record is from RNAcentral. Lineage: Eukaryota; Viridiplantae; Streptophyta; Magnoliopsida; Malpighiales; Euphorbiaceae.
CAACGAAAUACCUAAUAUCAUCUUUCUCAACUUCCAGUUUGAGCAGGCUGUUCUUUCUUCGCGCUAGCGACAGUCUCUUCCCUCCCCUCGUUUGCUUCACCUCGUCCCUCUUCAGCCAUCCUCACGGAGUCAGUUUCCCAUCUCGCCUCUGCAUAGAAUCCUCACCCCUCAAUCUUGUCGCAGUAUAGGUGAAAGGAAAGCAUCGCUAGCCCCUUGACAUCGCCGAUGCUUAUCCUUCCUACAUCACUGAAGCAGCUCGUCAGUGCUUCACACUGGUGAGUACUAGGGUUUUCAAUUUUUAGUUAACAUAUCUUUGGGUUUUCAUCUUGCAUAUGACAGAUCUUUAGGGCUUUAUUUAUUUAGUUUUUGUUUUCAUGUAAAACUCUGUUCUAUGUGAAUAUACCUACUGAAUUCAAAUACAACUAACUAAUUCAAAUUUUACAGAUUUUACAAAUUUAGAAUUUGAUUUGUGGGGUUUAAAUAAUUUUGUUUUGUAUGUGGACUAGUAUCAGAUUUUUUUUUCUAAUUUUUUAAUAAUGGGUUGAGUUACAGAUUUAGUCCAUCGCAUCCUCUGCUGUUUGCCUUACUAUUUUAAAGUAAUCAUCGAAUACCCUGUUGUUUGCCUUACUGUUUUAAUAUAACUUACCAGUCUUGAAUUUUUGUGUUUUUUUUUUUAGCAAACAGUGGAGGAUUUUAGGGACCUAGGUUUUGAAUUUAUAUAAAGAUCAAUUUGAUUAUAAGUGAUUAAAAGUGAUUAUAAGAUAAUUUAUUAUCUUCUUUCUUGGUUCCAACAAUUUUUUUUAGUGAAAACACAAGUACAGAGAGUGUUAGACAUUAUGAAUUCUCUAGUUUGCAAAACGAGGGCUAAUAAGAUAUUUUAGCAAUGAUGGUCCGCACACACCUAAUAAUCAACUGUUGUAUGAUUAAUCGAGGGUUGUGAAUUUAAGUUGACUGGUGACAAAAUAAAUUAUGAUGCUU